GGUGGCUCAGUGGUAGAGUGCUUGCCUUGCAUGCAUGAGGCCCUGGGUUCGAUCGCUCAGCACCA
Molecule: transfer RNA, 65 nt
Filed under: Dipodomys ordii (Ord's kangaroo rat)
Lineage: Eukaryota; Metazoa; Chordata; Mammalia; Rodentia; Heteromyidae
Rfam family: tRNA
About the family: Transfer RNA (tRNA) molecules are approximately 80 nucleotides in length.
Source: Rfam by way of RNAcentral